Pogona vitticeps (central bearded dragon) is the source of this 257-nucleotide non-coding RNA. NCBI's taxonomy places the organism in Eukaryota, Metazoa, Chordata, Lepidosauria, Squamata, Agamidae. The record is from RefSeq and is a predicted model, not a curated record.
GGUUGCUUCCUCAACCGUGCGUUUGUUACUGUCAGAAACAGUGAGGCCAACUGUCUCUUGAAGAUCAACUGGCGAGAACUUUGGCUAGAAUUGGAUCAAGUGAACCCAGAAGGCCCAUCUCAAGAAUGUUCCUUUAUGGACAAAGGCAGUUUAUGUGAUCCAAGAGACAUAGUGAAACCAAAUGUUUCUGAAGACAUCCCCUUUGUUCUUAAAGUACUCAGUGAAACUGCUGCUCUGUUUGAAAUGAAAAAUGUCCC